Molecule: long non-coding RNA, 2886 nt
Organism: Homo sapiens (human)
Lineage: Eukaryota; Metazoa; Chordata; Mammalia; Primates; Hominidae
Exons: 2
Source: RefSeq, a predicted model, not a curated record
CCCUGGCGGCGGGCGCACUGCUCGCACGCUCGCCCUGGGGCUGCAGAUCGGCUUGCGGGACGGGGUCCCAGAGAGGCCGGUCCACGCGGCCCGCACGCGCGAGUGUUAGCUCUGCACACGACGGAAGGCGGAGGCGCGGGUGGCUGCCGUUUCACCUUAGAGGGAGGGAGGGAAACGUGUCCUGAUUUCUGCACCUAAGGUGCUGGAAACCUUACCCUUGCACUUCCACCGUUUCUUUCCUUGUCCUGAAAAGGUCUCUUUUACCCGCUUCACUUCGCUAUCUACACAGUUUGCACUUGCACUGACUCAGAUCUUGUCCUGUCUGGUAAGCUGUGACCCUCAGCCAGCCUGGGUAGCUGCCCUUGAACCAGAGGUUGGGGUCUGGCAGUUUCUAUAGGCGUCCUCAGGCUCGGUCUGCAAGGGGCUUGCCUCUUUCUUCUGGGGUCUUCUCGCCCCCAUGCCUUCUCAGUUGUGGUGAUUAUACCAGAAGGAACGUGGGAGAAGUAUAAUGGAGAAUGCUUAGUCACUGGACAAUGAUUUCGAAAGUUCGGCUGGCUGAGGAAACAAGAGUUUUGUGUAAUGUCUGUGACUUACUCAAUGGUUCUAGGAGGCACGAGACUGAGUUUCUUUGGGCUCUGCUCGCCUACUCUUAAGGGGCUCUACCUUCUUAGGGUGAACUCGGCACCCACCUAGAACCUCCAGUGUGUGAAAGGGCCUACCUACCUCAUUGGGCCCCAACCUCCAGCCUCUUGUGAGAGUGACGACCAGCCCCAAAAUGGCUGCACACAAACAAGACCCUAAGAUGGAGUCUCGCUCUGUUGCCAGGCUGGAGUGCAGUGGCACGAUUUUGGCUCACUGCAACCUCUGCCUCCUGGAUUCAAGUGAUCCUCCUGCCUCAGACUCCCAAGACUGAGACUACAGCUGUGUGCCACCACACCUGGCUAAUUUUGUAUUUUUUAGUAGAGACAGGGUUUCACCAUGUUGGCCAGGAUAGUCUCGAUCUCCUGACCUCGUGAUGCACCCGUCUCGGCCUCCCAAAGUGCUGGGAUUACAGGUGUGAGCCACCGUGCCUGGUUGGAACUUCUUAGAGAUUGAUUUAGUGGUUGUGACCAAAAUGCUGAUAGAAAUAUAGACAAUAAAGGUCAUGCUGAGGAAGUCUCAGAUGGAAAUGAAGAACUUAUUGAAAACUGGAGCAAAGGUCACCCUUGUUAAACAGUAGCAAAGAACUUGGCUGCAUUGUGUCUAGGCCCUAUGGCUUUAUAGAAGGCUGAACUUAAGAAUGAUGACCUAGGGUAUCUGGCAGAAGAAAUUGCUAAGCAACAAAGUACUCAAGAAGUGGUGUGGCUACUUUUAAAAGCCUAUGCUAAAUUAUGGGAGCUAAGGAAUGACUAGAAAGUGGAAUUUAUAAUUAAAAGGGAAGCAAAGUGUAAAAAUUUGGAAAUUUCAUAGCCUGGCCAUGUGAUAGAGAAGGAAAGAGCAUUUGUAGGCAAGGAAUCCAAGAGUUUGAGGAAUCUGAGGGUGCUACAGAGCAACCAUUGCUAAAGAGAUUAGUGUGACUAAACCAGAGCCAAGUGUUACUAGUCAAGACGAUGUGAAAAAGGCCCUGAAGGCAUUUCAGAAAACUUUGAGGCUGACCCCUCCAUCAUAGGCCCAGAAUCCUAGGAUGACAGAAUGGUUUGGGUAGAGGACAGGCCUAGAGACUGCUCCCCUGUGACCAGUCUGCUGCUUCCUGUAUCCCCACCACUCCGGAUGGCACAGCCAUGGCUCACAUGGCCUCAGUGGCCCCAGGUGUGAGUCAUGUCACAGCUCUGGAGGGCAUAAGCCAUAAGUCUUGCUGGUGUCUACACAGUAUUAAGUCUGCAGGUGCCCAGAAUGCAAAAGUCAUGGAGGCUUGGCAGCUUCCACUUAGAUUUCAGAGGAUGUAUUGGAAAGCCUGGAUGCCCAGGCAGAAGUCUGCUGCGGGGCAGAGCCAACACAGAGUGUCCUCUCUGGGGUAAUGCCUAGGGGAGCCAUGGGAUUGGGGCUGCUGCUGCAAGGACCCAAGAAUUAUAGUCAUCAGCAGUGUGCAGCCUCAGCCUGGAAAAGCCAUGGGCAUUCAACUCCAACCUGUGAGAGCAGCCAGUGGCCUUGGGAGUAGGGCUGCUUGAGACUGUGGGAGUCCACUCCUCAUACCAGUGUACCCAGGAUGCAAGACAUACAGUCAAGGAUUAUUUUGGAGCUUUAAAAUUUAACAUCUGUCCUGCUGGGUUUUGGACUUGAUGGGGACUGUUACUCCUUUUUUUUUGGAAUGAUUUCUCCCUUUUGGGAUGGGACUGUUUAUCCAAUACAUGUACCACCAUUGUAUCUUGGAAGGAAACAACUUGUUUUUGAUUUCACAGUUAAUUCGCCUUGAGUCUCAGAUGGGACUUUGGAUUUUGAAGUUGAUGCUGGAACAAGUUAAGACUUUUGGAACUAUUGAGAAGGGAUGAUUAUAUUUUGCAGCAUGAAGAAGACAUGAGUUUUGGGGGGCCAGGGGAGGAAUGCUAUGGUUUGGAUGUUUGUCUCCCCAAAUCACAUGUUGAAAUUUGAUCCCAAUGUUAGAGGUGAGACCUAGUGGCGGGUGUUUGAGUCAGAGGGUGGACUUAUGAAUAGAUUAAUACCCUCCUAUGGUGCAGGGCAUGAAUACAAUUCUUACUCUGUUGGUUCUUUUAAGAGCUGGUUGUUAUAAAGAGCCUGGCACCUCCCCACUCUCUCUCUUGCUUCGCUUCUUGCCAUGUGAUCUCUACAUACACCGGCUUCCCUUUGCCUUCUGCCAUGAGUAGAAGCAGCCUAAGGGCCUCACAUGCAGAUGCAGGUUCCAUGCUUCUUGUGCACUCUGCAAAACCAAAUAAAUCUCUUUAUGAAUUA